AUUGAACGCUGGCGGCAGGCCUAACACAUGCAAGUCGAGCGGGGUUUUCGGACCUAGCGGCGGACGGGUGAGUAAUGCGUAGGAAGCCGCCCGAUAGAGGGGGAUACCAGUUGGAAACGACUGUUAAUACCGCAUAAUGUCUACGGACCAAAGUGUGGGACCUUCGGGCCACAUGCUAUCGGAUGCGCCUACGUGGGAUUAGCUAGUUGGUGAGGUAAUGGCUCACCAAGGCGACGAUCUCUAGCUGGUUUGAGAGGAUGAUCAGCCACACUGGAACUGAGACACGGUCCAGACUCCUACGGGAGGCAGCAGUGGGGAAUAUUGGACAAUGGGCGCAAGCCUGAUCCAGCCAUGCCGCGUGUGUGAAGAAGGCCUUCGGGUUGUAAAGCACUUUCAGCGAGGAGGAGGGGUGGUGUGUUAAUAGCACAUCAUUUUGACGUUACUCGCAGAAGAAGCACCGGCUAACUCUGUGCCAGCAGCCGCCGUAA
Molecule: ribosomal RNA, 488 nt
Filed under: uncultured bacterium
Lineage: Bacteria
Description: partial 16S ribosomal RNA
Rfam family: Bacterial small subunit ribosomal RNA
Source: RNAcentral